GCAAAGCUAAUGUUUGUCACCCAGAAAAAGUACUCACGUCGUCCCCAAAAUGAGAUUAGACUUUCAAGAUCAGUCUGUAAAAUCUCAUGAAGUAUCCAUCUAAACCAUUAAUCAUGUAAAAGUUGAACUUUUCUUAAAACUUUGAAUUCAAGCAUGAAAAGCACCUUGCUGCUAGUGAAGGAUUCUAAUUAGUCCAGUAACUAAUGCAUUUCAAAUCUCAACAUAUAUAAAUCAAUUACAUUUGGACCCUCAAACAUUUCCCUCGUCAAUAUGCACAACCUAUACUGAAAUUCAGCAAUUAACAACACAAAAAUUUUAAACAAUUACCAUUUCAGUUUCCUUAUUCUCUCCAAAGCCAGUAAAUAACUGAAAAAAAUUCAAAAACAAACAUACAAAAUUGAAACAGUUCAAUUAAAUCAUUCUAUUAAACAAACCAAUUUAUAACUGAGACAGUGGGCUUAGACAGAGAAUUGCGUGAUAUGAGAC
This 486-nucleotide long non-coding RNA is filed under the name Panax ginseng (ginseng). RNAcentral's name for it is "long non-coding RNA (PGIN_LNC006949)". Lineage: Eukaryota; Viridiplantae; Streptophyta; Magnoliopsida; Apiales; Araliaceae. The record is from RNAcentral.